CUGGAAAUAAGCACUCAAGCUCAAGCGCUCACACUUAUCGGCUGUUGUUGACGACAGACUGCCCAACCGUGGGUCUGUAGCUCAGUUGGUUAGAGCACCGUCUUGAUAAGGCGGGGGUCGUUGGUUCGAAUCCAACCAGACCCACCAUCGAAAUUUUGGGGGUGUAGCUCAGCUGGGAGAGCACCUGCUUUGCAAGCAGGGGGUCAUCGGUUCGAUCCCGUUCACCUCCACCAAAGAAGUUGUGCGUUUGUGUACGAAUCACGUACGAACUGGCCAGAGCAUAAAGUGCUCUGGCCAGUUUGAUCGUUAGAUCGGCUGUCGUUCUUUAACAAUUCAUAGAGUCGAAAUCAGCGUUGCUGAUGGAAAGCAUCUUCGGAUGCGCCGUGCCAUCAGCGACAUUUUGAUUGCAUAUACAAACUUCAAUUUCAGAGAUUGAAGUUCGGCAUAACGCGUAAUACUCAAACCAGUCAUUGACCGACCCGGUGUCAGCCGGCGUCAAAGUUAUAG
RNAcentral lists this transfer RNA (507 nucleotides) under uncultured beta proteobacterium. RNAcentral describes it as "16S-23S ribosomal RNA intergenic spacer". The stretch from base 71 to 144 matches the Rfam family "tRNA". Lineage: Bacteria; Pseudomonadati; Pseudomonadota; Betaproteobacteria. The record is from RNAcentral.